Molecule: long non-coding RNA, 890 nt
Filed under: Homo sapiens (human)
Lineage: Eukaryota; Metazoa; Chordata; Mammalia; Primates; Hominidae
Description: HSALNT0351136
Source: RNAcentral
GCAGCCCUCUGUCCUGAAGGCCAGUCCCACCCCCACCAUGUUCCCCCAGCAGCACUGAGUCUAUUUCCAGUCAGCCAGUGACAAGAGCUAAGAACUUGUCCCCACACCACCAGCCUCCCUGAUGAGAAAGCAAGCAGACUCAGUUUUCUGGCAUCUCAGGGAGCAUGCAGUGGUGAUUCACUUUCUUCAAAGGGUCUCUGGAUUCUCUCAGCUUGCCUGAUGAUAUUGUGUCCGGAAUUGGUGGGCUCCUGGUCUCACUGACUUCAAGAAUGAAGCCGCGGACCCUCACAUAUCACUAUGCGAAGUUUGACACUGCAAAUAAUAUAUCCUGAUCCAAUGUUGAAAGAAAAGCCGUAGUCCUCAAAGGCCCUGAAUCCAGUUUGAAAAGUUCAUGCAGCUGCAUUGCCCAGAGUAAGAACCCACCUUGAGCAAACACAUCUCUGCAAACUAAGCUGCUACAGCACAGUGCAUAUGGGAAACCAAACCCACUGCUAAACUGUGUUCUGCCCUGGAGACCAGUACAACUGACUGUCUGUCUGCCCCAGUCUCAGCCAAGAUUCUACCAUUUUCACACAGAAAUUACAAUGAAGGCGCUAGCCCACAGUUGCCUCCCACUCCGCAACCCCCAUGACCAACCCAGUGCUUCUCGAGUGACCCUGCAUCCUGUGCUGUGUUCUCUCAAGGGGAACUGUGAGUGUAACAACACUGCUAAAUUCUUUCUGAUUUACCUCCCUUGAUCUGAGUCUGGCUUCACCAUACCUCACCCAAGCCACUUCUCCUGUUCCAGUGGUUCGUAUUCUCCUAUACCUGUUUCAGAAGAAAAAUGUAUGGGACAUUAAAUUUUAGACUUUCAAUCACUGAAAAGCUCUUCAUUUUACUCUAAAACUUGU